RNAcentral lists this ribosomal RNA (404 nucleotides) under Actinomycetes bacterium. Its description in RNAcentral is "Actinobacteria bacterium partial 16S ribosomal RNA". It matches the Rfam family "Bacterial small subunit ribosomal RNA", at positions 355 to 776 of the family's 1533-position model. The record is from RNAcentral. Lineage: Bacteria; Bacillati; Actinomycetota; Actinomycetes.
UGGGGAAUAUUGGACAAUGGGCGCAAGCCUGAUCCAGCCAUGCCGCGUGAGUGAUGAAGGCCCUAGGGUUGUAAAGCUCUUUCACCGGUGAAGAUAAUGACGGUUACCGGAGAAGAAGCCCCGGCUAACUUCGUGCCAGCAGCCGCGGUAAUACGAAGGGGGCUAGCGUUGUUCGGAUUUACUGGGCGUAAAGCGCACGUAGGCGGACUUUUAAGUCAGGGGUGAAAUCCCGGGGCUCAACCCCGGAACUGCCUUUGAUACUGGAAGUCUUGAGUAUGGUAGAGGUGAGUGGAAUUCCGAGUGUAGAGGUGAAAUUCGUAGAUAUUCGGAGGAACACCAGUGGCGAAGGCGGCUCACUGGACCAUUACUGACGCUGAGGUGCGAAAGCGUGGGGAGCAAACAGG